Molecule: ribosomal RNA, 253 nt
Filed under: uncultured bacterium
Lineage: Bacteria
Description: partial 16S ribosomal RNA
Rfam family: Bacterial small subunit ribosomal RNA
Source: RNAcentral
UACGUAGGGUGCGAGCGUUAAUCGGAAUUACCGGGCGUAAAGCGUGCGCAGGCGGUUCGUCGUGUCCGAUGUGAAAGCCCCGGGCUCAACCUGGGAAUGGCAUUGGAAACUGGCGGACUCGAGUGUGGCAGAGGGGGGUGGAAUUCCGCGUGUAGCAGUGAAAUGCGUAGAGAUGCGGAGGAACACCGAUGGCGAAGGCAGCCCCCUGGGCUAACACUGACGCUCAGGCACGAAAGCGUGGGGAGCAAACAGG